RNAcentral lists this ribosomal RNA (1166 nucleotides) under Trioza urticae. RNAcentral's name for it is "16S ribosomal RNA". The record is from RNAcentral. Lineage: Eukaryota; Metazoa; Arthropoda; Insecta; Hemiptera; Triozidae.
AAUUGUUAAUUUAAUAAAAAAGUGUAGUAAAAUCAAUAAUAAAUAAACUGAAAGGGGGAGGCUUCAGUUUAUUUAUUAUUAAAAGAUUUUACGUUGUACCUUUUGUAUCAGGGUUAAUUUAAAGUUUCUUUUUAGAAUAAUUUCUCGAAAAAAAAAGAUUUAAACUAAUUGUUAAAUUAUUGUGUAAUAAUUAAUUAUUAUUUUGGUUUGGAUUUGAAAAAAAUACAGAUUUUUUAUAUCUAGUUACUUUAUUUUUUAAUUUAAUUAAAUUAAUUUGAUAUUGAGUACAUUGAUCACGUAUUCAAAUUAAAAAAUUUUGUAAGGAUAAGCUUAUAUAAUUAAUAGUAGUUGGGGGACUGCUAUUUAAUUUAUUUGCUUAUAAUUUGCAAUUUAUUUAAUAUGUAAAAAUUAAUUUAUUUAUAAUAAUAGUUUAAAAAUAACUCUAAUAGGGGGUUAAAGUUAUUUAUAAGAACUAUUAUAUUAAAAAAAUAAUGAUUGAAUUAGUAGAAUAAAAAAAUAAUAGUUAAGAAUUCGGCAAAUUUAAUUUUCGACUGUUUAUCAAAAACAUUUCUGUAAGGAAUAUAUUUUUAGUAUCACCUGCUCAAUGCUUAGGUAAAUAGCUGCAGUAUUUUGACUGUACAAAGGUAGCAUAAUCAUUAGUCUUUUAAUUAAAGGCUUGUAUGAAUGGUGGAACGUGAAAUUAACUUUUUUAUUAUUAUGAAAUUUGAAUUUAAUUUUUAAGUAAAAAAGCUUAAUUAUUUAAGAGGGACGAUAAGACCCUAUAGAAUUUAAAAAUAAACUUGAAAAAUUAUUUUUUAGUUGGGGUGACUAGAAACUAACUUUUCUUUUUUAAUUACUGGUAAGUAAAUUUAAGAUCCUAAAAUUUAGAUAAUAAGAUCUAAUUACCUUAGGGAUAACAGCAUAAUUUUUCUUUAAAGAUCAUAUUUGUAGAAAAGAUUAUGACCUCGAUGUUGAAUUAAAAUUAUAUUUAGGUGUAGUAAUUUAAAUAUUAAGUCUGUUCGACUUUAGAAUUUUACAUGAUUUGAGUUCAAACCGGCGUGAGCCAGGUUGGCUUCUAUCUUCUUGUAUAUUUUUUUAAUUUAGUACGAAAGGAUUAGUUAAAUUAAUUUUUAUUAUUUUGUAGUUAUUUAAAAUUAAACUUUCGU